This 2524-nucleotide ribosomal RNA is filed under the name Klebsiella pneumoniae. Its description in RNAcentral is "bacterial LSU rRNA". It matches the Rfam family "Bacterial large subunit ribosomal RNA", at positions 295 to 2812 of the family's 2925-position model. The record is from RNAcentral. Lineage: Bacteria; Pseudomonadati; Pseudomonadota; Gammaproteobacteria; Enterobacterales; Enterobacteriaceae.
GAGCAGCCCAGAGUCUGAAUCAGCUUGUGUGUUAGUGGAACGGUCUGGAAAGUCCGACGGUACAGGGUGAUAGUCCCGUACACCAAAAUGCACAGGCUGUGAACUCGAAGAGUAGGGCGGGACACGUGGUAUCCUGUCUGAAUAUGGGGGGACCAUCCUCCAAGGCUAAAUACUCCUGACUGACCGAUAGUGAACCAGUACCGUGAGGGAAAGGCGAAAAGAACCCCGGCGAGGGGAGUGAAAAAGAACCUGAAACCGUGUACGUACAAGCAGUGGGAGCACCUUCGGGUGUGACUGCGUACCUUUUGUAUAAUGGGUCAGCGACUUAUAUUCUGUAGCAAGGUUAACCGUAUAGGGGAGCCGCAGGGAAACCGAGUCUUAACUGGGCGUUAAGUUGCAGGGUAUAGACCCGAAACCCGGUGAUCUAGCCAUGGGCAGGUUGAAGGUUGGGUAACACUAACUGGAGGACCGAACCGACUAAUGUUGAAAAAUUAGCGGAUGACUUGUGGCUGGGGGUGAAAGGCCAAUCAAACCGGGAGAUAGCUGGUUCUCCCCGAAAGCUAUUUAGGUAGCGCCUCGUGAAUUCAUCUUCGGGGGUAGAGCACUGUUUCGGCUAGGGGGUCAUCCCGACUUACCAACCCGAUGCAAACUACGAAUACCGAAGAAUGUUAUCACGGGAGACACACGGCGGGUGCUAACGUCCGUCGUGAAGAGGGAAACAACCCAGACCGCCAGCUAAGGUCCCAAAGUCAUGGUUAAGUGGGAAACGAUGUGGGAAGGCACAGACAGCCAGGAUGUUGGCUUAGAAGCAGCCAUCAUUUAAAGAAAGCGUAAUAGCUCACUGGUCGAGUCGGCCUGCGCGGAAGAUGUAACGGGGCUAAACCAUGCACCGAAGCUGCGGCAGCGACACUAUGUGUUGUUGGGUAGGGGAGCGUUCUGUAAGCCUGCGAAGGUGACCUGUGAGGGUUGCUGGAGGUAUCAGAAGUGCGAAUGCUGACAUAAGUAACGAUAAAGCGGGUGAAAAGCCCGCUCGCCGGAAGACCAAGGGUUCCUGUCCAACGUUAAUCGGGGCAGGGUGAGUCGACCCCUAAGGCGAGGCCGAAAGGCGUAGUCGAUGGGAAACAGGUUAAUAUUCCUGUACUUGGUGUUACUGCGAAGGGGGGACGGAGAAGGCUAUGUUAGCCGGGCGACGGUUGUCCCGGUUUAAGCAUGUAGGCUGGUUAUCCAGGCAAAUCCGGAUAAUCAAGGCUGAGGUGUGAUGACGAGGCACUACGGUGCUGAAGUAACAAAUGCCCUGCUUCCAGGAAAAGCCUCUAAGCAUCAGGUAACAUCAAAUCGUACCCCAAACCGACACAGGUGGUCAGGUAGAGAAUACCAAGGCGCUUGAGAGAACUCGGGUGAAGGAACUAGGCAAAAUGGUGCCGUAACUUCGGGAGAAGGCACGCUGGUGUGUAGGUGAAGUCCCUGCGGAUGGAGCUGAGACCAGUCGAAGAUACCAGCUGGCUGCAACUGUUUAUUAAAAACACAGCACUGUGCAAACACGAAAGUGGACGUAUACGGUGUGACGCCUGCCCGGUGCCGGAAGGUUAAUUGAUGGGGUUAUCCGUAAGGAGAAGCUCUUGAUCGAAGCCCCGGUAAACGGCGGCCGUAACUAUAACGGUCCUAAGGUAGCGAAAUUCCUUGUCGGGUAAGUUCCGACCUGCACGAAUGGCGUAAUGAUGGCCAGGCUGUCUCCACCCGAGACUCAGUGAAAUUGAACUCGCUGUGAAGAUGCAGUGUACCCGCGGCAAGACGGAAAGACCCCGUGAACCUUUACUAUAGCUUGACACUGAACAUUGAGCCUUGAUGUGUAGGAUAGGUGGGAGGCUUUGAAGCGUGGACGCCAGUCUGCGUGGAGCCAACCUUGAAAUACCACCCUUUAAUGUUUGAUGUUCUAACGUUGGCCCCUGACCGGGGUUGCGGACAGUGUCUGGUGGGUAGUUUGACUGGGGCGGUCUCCUCCCAAAGCGUAACGGAGGAGCACGAAGGUUAGCUAAUCCUGGUCGGACAUCAGGAGGUUAGUGCAAUGGCAUAAGCUAGCUUGACUGCGAGCGUGACGGCGCGAGCAGGUGCGAAAGCAGGUCAUAGUGAUCCGGUGGUUCUGAAUGGAAGGGCCAUCGCUCAACGGAUAAAAGGUACUCCGGGGAUAACAGGCUGAUACCGCCCAAGAGUUCAUAUCGACGGCGGUGUUUGGCACCUCGAUGUCGGCUCAUCACAUCCUGGGGCUGAAGUAGGUCCCAAGGGUAUGGCUGUUCGCCAUUUAAAGUGGUACGCGAGCUGGGUUUAGAACGUCGUGAGACAGUUCGGUCCCUAUCUGCCGUGGGCGCUGGAGAAUUGAGGGGGGCUGCUCCUAGUACGAGAGGACCGGAGUGGACGCAUCACUGGUGUUCGGGUUGUCAUGCCAAUGGCACUGCCCGGUAGCUAAAUGCGGAAGAGAUAAGUGCUGAAAGCAUCUAAGCACGAAACUUGCCCCGAGAUGAGUUCU